Molecule: non-coding RNA, 72 nt
Organism: Bos taurus (domestic cattle)
Lineage: Eukaryota; Metazoa; Chordata; Mammalia; Artiodactyla; Bovidae
Source: Rfam
UCACAGGUGGUUCAGCCAGUAAAGAAUGUGCCUGCAAUGCAGGAGACUCAGGUUCAAUCCCUGGCUUGGGAG